GACAGAGGGUGCAAACGUUGUUCGGAAUUACUGGGCGUAAAGCGCGUGUAGGCGGCCCUGCAAGUCGGAUGUGAAAUCCCACGGCUCAACCGUGGAAGUGCAUUCGAAACUGCAGGGCUAGAGUCCUGGAGAGGAAGGUGGAAUGCUUGGUGUAGAGGUGAAAUUCGUAGAUAUCAAGCGGAACACCUAUUGCGAAGGCAGCUCGCUGGGACGUAACUGACGCUGAGACGCGAAAGCGUGGGGAGCAAACAGG
RNAcentral lists this ribosomal RNA (253 nucleotides) under uncultured bacterium. RNAcentral's name for it is "partial 16S ribosomal RNA". It matches the Rfam family "Bacterial small subunit ribosomal RNA", at positions 524 to 776 of the family's 1533-position model. The record is from RNAcentral.